RNAcentral lists this ribosomal RNA (406 nucleotides) under uncultured bacterium. RNAcentral describes it as "partial 16S ribosomal RNA". It matches the Rfam family "Bacterial small subunit ribosomal RNA", at positions 30 to 526 of the family's 1533-position model. The record is from RNAcentral.
AUUGAACGCUGGCGGCGUGCUUUACACAUGCAAGUCGGACGAGUGGCGAACGGGUGAGUAACGCAUCGGAACGUAGCGAGUAAAGGCGGAAAACUGUCCGAAAGGACAGCUAAAACCGCAUAUUACUCGAGCGGCCGAUGUCUGAUUAGCUGGUUGGGGGGGUAAAGGCCCACCAAGGCGACGAUGCGUAGCGGGUCUGAGAGGAUGAUCGGCCACACUGGGACUGAGACACGGCCCAGACUCCUACGGGAGGCAGCAGUGGGGAAUUUUGGGCAAUGGGCGCAAGCCUGAUCCAGCCAUGCCGCGUGUCUGAAGAAGGCCUUCGGGUUGUAAAGGACUUUUGUCAGGGAAGCGGUACCUGAAGAGUAAGCACCGGCUAACUACGUGCCAGCAGCCGCGGUAAUUC